RNAcentral lists this unclassified non-coding RNA (204 nucleotides) under Hevea brasiliensis (rubber tree). Lineage: Eukaryota; Viridiplantae; Streptophyta; Magnoliopsida; Malpighiales; Euphorbiaceae. The record is from RNAcentral.
AAAAUCCCUAGUAAUUCCUGCAUCACUUGACCUUGAGUUUGGCUUCAACUAUUAAUCAGAAUACUUGUGAUAAUUAAUCAAAGACAUUGCUGUAGCAGCUUAAUGUUGAGUUGAAUAUCCUUAAUCCUAGUCAUCUUAUGGCAUUCUAUAACAUCUCAGUAGAUCAAAUCGUCUGUUAAUACGAGAUGUGGAUUGAUGUUGGCA